GAUGAAGAACGUAGCGAAAUGCGAUAAGUAAUGUGAAUUGCAGAAUUCAGUGAAUCAUCGAAUCUUUGAACGCACCUUGCGCUCUUUGGUAUUCCGAAGAGCAUGCCUGUUUGAGUGUCAUGAAAAUAUCAACCUUGACUUGGGUUUUGUGCUCUAGUCUCGGCUUGGAAUUGGGUGCUUGCCGCUUUUACGAGCGGCUCACCUUAAAUGUAUUAGCUGGAUCUGUCUUUGAGACUUGGUUUGACUUGGCGUAAUAAGUAUUUCGCUAAGGACAUUCUUCGGAGUGGCCUCGUUUCUAGGACGCUUGUCCGCUUUCCAAUACAAGUUCCACCUCGUGGACAUGACUUUUUAUUAUCUGGCCUCAAAUCAGGUAGGACUACCCGCUGAACUUAAGCAUAUCAAUAAGGGAGGA
Molecule: unclassified non-coding RNA, 412 nt
Filed under: soil metagenome
Description: partial contains 5.8S ribosomal RNA, internal transcribed spacer 2, and large subunit ribosomal RNA
Rfam family: 5.8S ribosomal RNA (bases 1-120)
Source: RNAcentral